RNAcentral lists this transfer RNA (77 nucleotides) under Pseudomonadota bacterium. RNAcentral describes it as "Proteobacteria bacterium tRNA-Arg". It matches the Rfam family "tRNA". From Rfam's summary of the family: Transfer RNA (tRNA) molecules are approximately 80 nucleotides in length. Their secondary structure includes four short double-helical elements and three loops (D, anti-codon, and T loops). Further hydrogen bonds mediate the characteristic L-shaped molecular structure. tRNAs have two regions of fundamental functional importance: the anti-codon, which is responsible for specific mRNA codon recognition, and the 3' end, to which the tRNAs corresponding amino acid is attached (by aminoacyl-tRNA synthetases). tRNAs cope with the degeneracy of the genetic code in two manners: having more than one tRNA (with a specific anti-codon) for a particular amino acid; and 'wobble' base-pairing, i.e. permitting non-standard base-pairing at the 3rd anti-codon position. The record is from RNAcentral. Lineage: Bacteria; Pseudomonadati; Pseudomonadota. RNAcentral also lists the same sequence under 2 other names.
GCGCCGGUAGCUCAGCUGGAUAGAGCACCAGGCUUCGAACCUGGGGGUCGGGGGUUCGAGUCCCUCCCGGCGUGCCA